This 1003-nucleotide ribosomal RNA is filed under the name Acinetobacter johnsonii. RNAcentral's name for it is "bacterial SSU rRNA". The record is from RNAcentral. Lineage: Bacteria; Pseudomonadati; Pseudomonadota; Gammaproteobacteria; Moraxellales; Moraxellaceae.
AAGCUGAUCCAGCCAUGCCGCGUGUGUGAAGAAGGCCUUUUGGUUGUAAAGCACUUUAAGCGAGGAGGAGGCUACUUGGAUUAAUACUCUAGGAUAGUGGACGUUACUCGCAGAAUAAGCACCGGCUAACUCUGUGCCAGCAGCCGCGGUAAUACAGAGGGUGCGAGCGUUAAUYGGAUUUACUGGGCGUAAAGCGUGCGUAGGCGGCUUUUUAAGUYGGAUGUGAAAUCCCUGAGCUUAACUUAGGAAUUGCAUUCGAUACUGGGAAGCUAGAGUAUGGGAGAGGAUGGUAGAAUUCCAGGUGUAGCGGUGAAAUGCGUAGAGAUYUGGAGGAAUACCGAUGGCGAAGGCAGCCAUYUGGCCUAAUACUGACGCUGAGGUACGAAAGCAUGGGGAGCAAACAGGAUUAGAUACCCUGGUAGUCCAUGCCGUAAACGAUGUYUACUAGCCGUUGGGGCCUUUGAGGCUUUAGUGGCGCAGCUUACGCGAUAAGUAGACCGCCUGGGGAGUACGGUYGCAAGACUAAAACUCAAAUGAAUUGACGGGGGCCCGCACAAGCGGUGGAGCAUGUGGUUUAAUUYGAUGCAACGCGAAGAACCUUACCUGGUCUUGACAUAGUAAGAACUUUCCAGAGAUGGAUUGGUGCCUUYGGGAACUUACAUACAGGUGCUGCAUGGCUGUYGUCAGCUCGUGUCGUGAGAUGUUGGGUUAAGUCCCGCAACGAGCGCAACCCUUUUCCUUAUUUKCCAGCGGGUUAAGCCGGGAACUUUAAGGAUACUGCCAGUGACAAACUGGAGGAAGGCGGGGACGACGUCAAGUCAUCAUGGCCCUUACGACCAGGGCUACACACGUGCUACAAUGGUCGGUACAAAGGGUUGCUACCYAGCGAUAGGAUGCUAAUCUCAAAAAGCCGAUAGUAGUCCGGAUUGGAGUCUGCAACUGACUCCAUGAAGUCGGAAUCGCUAGUAAUCGCGGAUCAGAACCCGCGUUGCGCCGUUGCCCC